CAUUGAGUCCUUCAGACAGUUGAUGUUACCCGCAGUUUACGUGUGAAGAGACGGGCCUGCAGAGUGUAAGUGACUGGCCCGUGGUCACAUGUGGAAAGCGGUGAAGCCAGUCAGUACUGCUUCUUCCCCACCUAAAACCUUGCCAAGCAAGCUGAAGCUGCAUUCUUGAUCUCCCUAUAGGUGUCAGCAAGAAAGCACAGGAGUCAGAAAUGAAGCCUCCCUCCCGCCCCUGGGAAACCUGACCUACGUCCAGCUCCAAAGGCUAUUUGGACAACAUAAGCUCCCCUGCCAUGUGUCAUGCCCUGGGGACAAAGAGGAGGCCAUCUGUUUCAUCCCUGGGGGGUCCUGACAGAAAACCCUCUUGCAAAAGACAAGAAGGAAAUAUACCACCUGCUAACGGAAAUGGGAGCUGGACAGGUAGGAUUCAAGGUUUAUGUUUUUUCCUCCUUUUACCUAUUUUCCAACAUCUGUGCAGCAAGCAGGGUUGUGUUACUUUUAUUAAAAAAAAGGGGGGGGGGCCUGGCUGGCUCAGUCAGAAAGCAUGUAACUCUUGAUCUCAGGGUUGCAAAUUGGAGCCCCAUUUGGGGGUACAGAGAUUACUUAAAUAAAUACAAACUUUUACAAAAAUAAAUAAAUAAAGUUAAAAAGGGAAACAUAAAGAGCUAAUGAAAGGAUGCUUUUGUGUUGAGCUACAAUUCGCAGGACAAGCUCCCAGGCUCCUGGUUCCAGGGGACUGGGCUAGGCAUUUUGCGGGGGAAGGUCUUUGGGCUCCUCUGACGAGCUAGCACGGCCCGGGAACGGACAGGGAGAUCCCGGAUGGCAGUGCCUCAGUACCCUGGUCUGUGAGCUUCUCCAGGCUGCUCAGGCCCACCCUCUGAGUAUCUGGCGUGGCAGGGCAGCGUCCAGGGCUGGCUUCGUGGUCGGCGGCACAGGACUCUGCACUUAACAAGGGCAUCGCGAUUGGCCUAAGUCUCCGCUAUCGCUCUUCUGAAAUCCCCGUAAUUCCUCGACAAAGGCCAGGCCUUUCCAUUUUGCGUUGGGCCCUGCAAAUCAUGUAGCCAGCCCCGGCAGGAUCCCCCUUCCAACCAAGGGCUUCGGAACAAGGCAGGCCGGGGUCCCAGCACGAGCUCCCUGACUCACCUAUGCUGUGACCUGGAGCAAGCGACUUCACCUCCCUGGGACUCAAGUUUCUUAAGACGAAGAACAAAAAUAACCUCAUAGUGAUGUGAUAAAAGGCGAGCACAAAGUACGUGCCCCCGAAUCGUACUGUAAUUUGUUACAUAAAGUACUUACCACGGGCCCGACACAGAGUAAUCCUCCAGCGGGGAGGACGCUGGUCUCCAGCCAGACGCCCACAGAUCAGACGCCGCUGAUGGACGGCUCUCCUCCCCACCCUGCUUCCUGUGCACGGCUCUGGAGGGCAGAGCGGAUACAAACACCGUCCGUCCCCCCACCCGGACCCGGACCCGCGUGGUUCUUCACAAGCCUCCGGGGAAGGGAACGGCGUGGGCGGCCCGUGAGCGUGGGCUGGUCCCUGCCGCGAUCCAGAGGUACAUCCUG
Acinonyx jubatus (cheetah) is the source of this 1560-nucleotide long non-coding RNA. RefSeq lists it as uncharacterized. Lineage: Eukaryota; Metazoa; Chordata; Mammalia; Carnivora; Felidae. The transcript is spliced from 3 exons. The record is from RefSeq and is a predicted model, not a curated record.